RNAcentral lists this transfer RNA (76 nucleotides) under Desulfomicrobium sp. Its description in RNAcentral is "tRNA-Ile". It matches the Rfam family "tRNA". From Rfam's summary of the family: Transfer RNA (tRNA) molecules are approximately 80 nucleotides in length. Their secondary structure includes four short double-helical elements and three loops (D, anti-codon, and T loops). Lineage: Bacteria; Pseudomonadati; Thermodesulfobacteriota; Desulfovibrionia; Desulfovibrionales; Desulfomicrobiaceae. The record is from RNAcentral. RNAcentral also lists the same sequence under 1 other name.
GGGCCCAUAGCUCAGUUGGAAGAGCCCCCGGCUCAUAACCGGAUGGUCCCAGGUUCAACCCCUGGUGGGCCCACCA